This 645-nucleotide ribosomal RNA is filed under the name uncultured bacterium. RNAcentral's name for it is "bacterial SSU rRNA". It matches the Rfam family "Bacterial small subunit ribosomal RNA", at positions 49 to 701 of the family's 1533-position model. The record is from RNAcentral.
UAAGACAUGCAAGUCGAACGAACUUAAUCGAUUCUUUUAGAUUCGAAGCGGUUAGUGGCGGACUGGUGAGUAACACGUAAGCAACCUACCUGUUAGAGGGGAAUAACAGUGAGAAAUCACUGCUAAAACCGCAUAUGCCGUGAACAUCGCAUGAUGAAAACGGGAAAAGAGCAAUCUGCUAAUAGAUGGGCUUGCGUCUGAUUAGCUAGUUGGUGUGGUAAAGGCAUACCAAGGCGACGAUCAGUAGCCGGACUGAGAGGUUGAACGGCCACAUUGGGACUGAGAUACGGCCCAGACUCCUACGGGAGGCAGCAGUCGGGAAUAUUGCGCAAUGGAGGAAACUCUGACGCAGUGACGCCGCGUAUGGGAAGAAGGUUUUCGGAUUGUAAACCAUUUUAGACAAGGAAGAAACAAGACAGUACUUGUAGAAUAAGCUCCGGCUAACUACGUGCCAGCAGCCGCGGUAAUACGUAGGGAGCAAGCGUUAUCCGGAUUUAUUGGGUGUAAAGGGUGCGUAGACGGGAAGGUAAGUUAGUUGUGAAAUCCCUCGGCUCAACUGAGGAACUGCGACUAAAACUGCUUUUCUUGAGUGCUGGAGAGGAAAGUGGAAUUCCUAGUGUAGCGGUGAAAUGCGUAGAUAUUAGG